This is a non-coding RNA of Podarcis lilfordi (Lilford's wall lizard), 76 nucleotides long. NCBI's taxonomy places the organism in Eukaryota, Metazoa, Chordata, Lepidosauria, Squamata, Lacertidae. The record is from the annotation of a GenBank genome assembly.
GCCCUGUGGAUAGCUCAGCCGGUAGAGCAUGAGAUUCUUAAUCUGAGGGUUGUCAGUUCAAGCCCCACCUUGGGCA